ACGGUGGAUGCCCUGGCAGUCAGAGGCGAUGAAGGACGUGCUAAUCUGCGAUAAGCGUCGGUAAGGUGAUAUGAACCGUUAUAACCGGCGAUUUCCGAAUGGGGAAACCCAGUGUGUUUCGACACACUAUCAUUAACUGAAUCCAUAGGUUAAUGAGGCGAACCGGGGGAACUGAAACAUCUAAGUACCCCGAGGAAAAGAAAUCAACCGAGAUUCCCCCAGUAGCGGCGAGCGAACGGGGAGCAGCCCAGAGCCUGAAUCAGUGUGUGUGUUAGUGGAAGCGUCUGGAAAGGCGCGCGAUACAGGGUGACAGCCCCGUACACAAAAAUGCACAUGCUGUGAGCUCGAUGAGUAGGGCGGGACACGUGGUAUCCUGUCUGAAUAUGGGGGGACCAUCCUCCAAGGCUAAAUACUCCUGACUGACCGAUAGUGAACCAGUACCGUGAGGGAAAGGCGAAAAGAACCCCGGCGAGGGGAGUGAAAAAGAACCUGAAACCGUGUACGUACAAGCAGUGGGAGCACAGAGCAAUCUGUGUGACUGCGUACCUUUUGUAUAAUGGGUCAGCGACUUAUAUUCUGUAGCAAGGUUAACCGAAUAGGGGAGCCGAAGGGAAACCGAGUCUUAACUGGGCGUUAAGUUGCAGGGUAUAGACCCGAAACCCGGUGAUCUAGCCAUGGGCAGGUUGAAGGUUGGGUAACACUAACUGGAGGACCGAACCGACUAAUGUUGAAAAAUUAGCGGAUGACUUGUGGCUGGGGGUGAAAGGCCAAUCAAACCGGGAGAUAGCUGGUUCUCCCCGAAAGCUAUUUAGGUAGCGCCUCGUGAAUUCAUCUCCGGGGGUAGAGCACUGUUUCGGCAAGGGGGUCAUCCCGACUUACCAACCCGAUGCAAACUGCGAAUACCGGAGAAUGUUAUCACGGGAGACACACGGCGGGUGCUAACGUCCGUCGUGAAGAGGGAAACAACCCAGACCGCCAGCUAAGGUCCCAAAGUCAUGGUUAAGUGGGAAACGAUGUGGGAAGGCCCAGACAGCCAGGAUGUUGGCUUAGAAGCAGCCAUCAUUUAAAGAAAGCGUAAUAGCUCACUGGUCGAGUCGGCCUGCGCGGAAGAUGUAACGGGGCUAAACCAUG
This 1131-nucleotide ribosomal RNA is filed under the name Escherichia coli. RNAcentral's name for it is "partial 23S ribosomal RNA". It matches the Rfam family "Bacterial large subunit ribosomal RNA", at positions 21 to 1191 of the family's 2925-position model. The record is from RNAcentral. Lineage: Bacteria; Pseudomonadati; Pseudomonadota; Gammaproteobacteria; Enterobacterales; Enterobacteriaceae.